AAAAAAAAAAAUUUUCACAUCCGUUACUCGGAGCCACAACUCAGAAUUGUCCUAAUUCUGAAUCACAUAUCUCUAAAAUACACAAAAACUAAAUCUACUACAAAUAAUCAAAAAUUUACAAAGAUCUCUAUUUCUGUCAGUUCAUUAAGCUCCCCUUGAAUUUCCAAUUAAUCUAAACUACCUGCUAUUCUACUAAAUCCCCCUUACAAAUUAAGCACCAGUUCCAGCAUGGAACAAAAAGUGAAAACCAUGACCAUAAAAAACAAUGUAUACACCAAU
This 279-nucleotide long non-coding RNA is filed under the name Mytilus galloprovincialis (Mediterranean mussel). Lineage: Eukaryota; Metazoa; Mollusca; Bivalvia; Mytilida; Mytilidae. The record is from RNAcentral.